This is a long non-coding RNA of Mesocricetus auratus (golden hamster), 1359 nucleotides long. RefSeq lists it as uncharacterized. NCBI's taxonomy places the organism in Eukaryota, Metazoa, Chordata, Mammalia, Rodentia, Cricetidae. The record is from RefSeq and is a predicted model, not a curated record. The transcript is spliced from 3 exons.
GUGUUUCAGAUAUCUAGAGAGGUUAUAAGAAUCCAGAGACAAGGGAGACUGUGCCCGUCUAUAUACUCUGCAGUAUACCUUUCAAAGCGAAGCAUCGAGACAGUAGAAAAAGAACGUGACUCAAUAUUAGAGCAACGGUCUCUCCAUAAGUAGCUACAUACUGUCUUACGAUGGGGAGUUGCAAGAGUACACCACACUCUCCAGGAACACAACAACCCCUAACUAGUAAGACACCUCCUUCAAAAUCAACAGAGACUCACCUCUGUCCUGCUGGGCCCGCAGCCUUGUUUACUGCUUCCUCCCAUGCUCAGAUAUCUUCACGUGAACUUUGGUUAACAGUUGCCCAAUAUCACCCUUCCCUAGGUGACCAAACAUGGAAGUGCCCCACCUUCGGGUUCUCACAUUCCAAAAGCUACACAAACAAGCUUUGAAAUAUGUUUUAUGAAAUGAUAGGUUGGGAGAGCUAGGCUUCAGACGUGUCCAAGGCUAUAGGCGUUCCAGCUUCCCACAGCCCCACCUCACUGUCAGGUCAGAACACCAGAGGACUCCAAUGAUGGAGCAAAAAUCGCCUUUCCAGAUGGCAGAGUCCCAGCCAGUGCUUAAACUCAGGAGACAGUAAGGAUUCGGACAACUAGGAUGCAACUGAGAUCAACAAGAGUCACAUAAAAAUUCCCUCUUCCAAUUGUGAAAACAUCAUCACCACGUGCUCAAACAGUAAUCGAACAUUGCCAAGAUGAGAUGGACAAGAGCAAGAAGCUUGGCUGCAGCCAGGAGUUUAACAUGAGGCAAUACCACACUGACUUCUCUCGGGUUACACCAAACUAAACUGUGUUGCAAGCUGGCUUCAGAUCACAGGAAGGUGCUUGGAGAGGGGCUUAGAGAGACCAUGGACUGUGCUUAUGGCUCUGCUGUUUUGACCUCUGGGACCUUCCAACAGCCAAUGCCCAAUGAUUCCUGGUAGAAUGAACUAACCAAAGCAUUUCCAUCAGAGAUGAACUUUCAGAAGGUCAGUUUUAUCUAAACCAGCAUUAUAAAACACAAUUCUGUCUUUGCCCUGGAACAAAGAGUACAAGAGUUCAAGCCAAGAGGAGGCAAUCGAUACAGAUGCCGUGAAAGAAUAUGGUGACUCACUGUGUAAAGGGUAUCUCUCCACACGUAGAAUGACUAGGACCCAGAGGCCCAAGGACAAAGGAUUCAAAGUUGGAUCCCAGCCCAGCAGACUUGGUUCUCGUGUAUCACCUCGGUUUGGGCAGUAAGACACUAGACUGGUGUAACUAGAAAAUUGUGCCAUGCCCUGUCUGGGAGACCUGUGGAACCUUGUCUUUGUGUGAAUAAAAUAAAAUCAGUGACAAUCCGAAA